RNAcentral lists this ribosomal RNA (661 nucleotides) under Escherichia coli. Its description in RNAcentral is "partial 23S ribosomal RNA". It matches the Rfam family "Bacterial large subunit ribosomal RNA", at positions 604 to 1264 of the family's 2925-position model. The record is from RNAcentral. Lineage: Bacteria; Pseudomonadati; Pseudomonadota; Gammaproteobacteria; Enterobacterales; Enterobacteriaceae.
CCUUUUGUAUAAUGGGUCAGCGACUUAUAUUCUGUAGCAAGGUUAACCGAAUAGGGGAGCCGAAGGGAAACCGAGUCUUAACUGGGCGUUAAGUUGCAGGGUAUAGACCCGAAACCCGGUGAUCUAGCCAUGGGCAGGUUGAAGGUUGGGUAACACUAACUGGAGGACCGAACCGACUAAUGUUGAAAAAUUAGCGGAUGACUUGUGGCUGGGGGUGAAAGGCCAAUCAAACCGGGAGAUAGCUGGUUCUCCCCGAAAGCUAUUUAGGUAGCGCCUCGUGAAUUCAUCUCCGGGGGUAGAGCACUGUUUCGGCAAGGGGGUCAUCCCGACUUACCAACCCGAUGCAAACUGCGAAUACCGGAGAAUGUUAUCACGGGAGACACACGGCGGGUGCUAACGUCCGUCGUGAAGAGGGAAACAACCCAGACCGCCAGCUAAGGUCCCAAAGUCAUGGUUAAGUGGGAAACGAUGUGGGAAGGCCCAGACAGCCAGGAUGUUGGCUUAGAAGCAGCCAUCAUUUAAAGAAAGCGUAAUAGCUCACUGGUCGAGUCGGCCUGCGCGGAAGAUGUAACGGGGCUAAACCAUGCACCGAAGCUGCGGCAGCGACGCUGAUGCGUUGUUGGGUAGGGGAGCGUUCUGUAAGCCUGCGAAGGUGUGCUGU